AGCGAACGCUGGCGGCAGGCCUAACACAUGCAGGUCGAACGAAGUCUUCGGACUUAGUGGCGGACGGGUGAGUAACACGUGGGAACGUGCCCUUUGGUACGGAAUAACUCAGGGAAACUUGAGCUAAUACCGUAUGUGCCCUUCGGGGGAAAGAUUUAUCGCCAUUGGAGCGGCCCGCGUCUGAUUAGCUAGUUGGUGAGGUAAAGGCUCACCAAGGCGACGAUCAGUAGCUGGUCUGAGAGGAUGAUCAGCCACCUUGGGUCUGAGACACGGCCCAAACUCCUACGGGAGGCAGCAGGGGGGAAUCUUGCGCAAUGGGCGAAAGCCUGACGCAGCCAUGCCGCGUGAAUGAUGAAGGUCUUAGGAUUGUAAAAUUCUUUCACCGGGGACGAUAAUGACGGUACCCGGAGAAGAAGCCCCGGCUAACUUCGUGCCAGCAGCCGCGGUAA
Molecule: ribosomal RNA, 449 nt
Filed under: uncultured bacterium
Lineage: Bacteria
Description: partial 16S ribosomal RNA
Rfam family: Bacterial small subunit ribosomal RNA
Source: RNAcentral